RNAcentral lists this ribosomal RNA (550 nucleotides) under Candidatus Glomeribacter gigasporarum. RNAcentral describes it as "bacterial LSU rRNA". It matches the Rfam family "Bacterial large subunit ribosomal RNA", at positions 943 to 1492 of the family's 2925-position model. The record is from RNAcentral. Lineage: Bacteria; Pseudomonadati; Pseudomonadota; Betaproteobacteria; Burkholderiales; Burkholderiaceae.
GCCAUAGCAAACUCCGAAUACCGAAGAGUGGAAUCACGGGAGACAGACAUCGGGUGCUAACGUCCGGUGUCGAGAGGGCAAUAACCCAGACCACCAGCUAAGGUCCCAAAGAUUGGCUCAGUGGGAAACGAAGUGGGAAGGCCGAAACAGUCAGGAGGUUGGCUUAGAAGCAGCCAUCCUUUAAAGAAAGCGUAAUAGCUCACUGAUCGAGUCGUCCUGCGCGGAAGAUGUAACGGGGCUUAAGCCAGUCACCGAAGCUGUGGGUAUUAGAGAUGAUCCUCUGAUACGGUAGGAGAGCGUUCCGUAGGCCGGAGAAGGUGCAUUGAUAAGUGUGCUGGAGGUAUCGGAAGUGCGAAUGCUGACAUGAGUAACGAUAAAGGGGGUGAAAAGCUCCUUCGCCGUAAGCCCAAGGUUUCCUGCGCAACGUUCAUCGGCGCAGGGUGAGUCGGCCCCUAAGGUGAGGCAGAAAUGCGUAGCUGAUGGGAAGCAGGUGAAUAUUCCUGCACCGUUGUAAGAAUGCGAUGGGGGGACGGAUCGCAGAAGGUUGUCC